Molecule: ribosomal RNA, 260 nt
Filed under: Staphylococcus aureus
Lineage: Bacteria; Bacillati; Bacillota; Bacilli; Caryophanales; Staphylococcaceae
Also listed under: 1 other name
Description: partial 16S ribosomal RNA
Rfam family: Bacterial small subunit ribosomal RNA
Source: RNAcentral
CAUAAAGUUGUUCUCAGUUCGGAUUGUAGUCUGCAACUCGACUACAUGAAGCUGGAAUCGCUAGUAAUCGUAGAUCAGCAUGCUACGGUGAAUACGUUCCCGGGUCUUGUACACACCGCCCGUCACACCACGAGAGUUUGUAACACCCGAAGCCGGUGGAGUAACCUUUUAGGAGCUAGCCGUCGAAGGUGGGACAAAUGAUUGGGGUGAAGUCGUAACAAGGUAGCCGUAUCGGAAGGUGCGGCUGGAUCACCUCCUUU